GAUGAAGAACGCAGCGAAAUGCGAUACGUAAUGUGAAUUGCAGAAUUCAGUGAAUCAUCGAAUCUUUGAACGCAUAUUGCGCUCUUUGGUAUUCCGAAGAGCAUGCUUGUUUGAGUAUCAGUAAACACCUCAAAGCGUUUGGAUUUUUUAAUCGAAAAGCUUUGGACUUGAGCAAUCCCAACACCAAUCUUUUUGAGAUCGGUGGCGGGUUGCUUGAAAUGCAGGUGCAGCUGGACAUUCUCCUGAGCUAAAAGCAUAUUCAUUUAGUCCCGUCAAACGGAUUAUUACUUUUGCUGCAGCUAACAUAAAGGGAGUUUGACCGUAUUGGCUGACUGAUGCAGGAUUUCACAAGGGUCGGCAACGAUUCUUGUUAAACUCGAUCUCAAAUCAAGUAAGACUACCCGCUGAACUUAAGCAUAUCAAUAAGCGGAGGA
This 434-nucleotide unclassified non-coding RNA is filed under the name soil metagenome. RNAcentral's name for it is "partial contains 5.8S ribosomal RNA, internal transcribed spacer 2, and large subunit ribosomal RNA". The stretch from base 1 to 120 matches the Rfam family "5.8S ribosomal RNA", at positions 35 to 154 of the family's 154-position model. The record is from RNAcentral.